UCCAUUGCUCAGUUGGUAAAGCACAAGGCUCUUAACCUUGUGGUCUUGGGUUCGAGCCCUACGAUGGAG
This 69-nucleotide transfer RNA is filed under the name Triticum aestivum (bread wheat). It matches the Rfam family "tRNA". From Rfam's summary of the family: Transfer RNA (tRNA) molecules are approximately 80 nucleotides in length. Their secondary structure includes four short double-helical elements and three loops (D, anti-codon, and T loops). Further hydrogen bonds mediate the characteristic L-shaped molecular structure. tRNAs have two regions of fundamental functional importance: the anti-codon, which is responsible for specific mRNA codon recognition, and the 3' end, to which the tRNAs corresponding amino acid is attached (by aminoacyl-tRNA synthetases). tRNAs cope with the degeneracy of the genetic code in two manners: having more than one tRNA (with a specific anti-codon) for a particular amino acid; and 'wobble' base-pairing, i.e. permitting non-standard base-pairing at the 3rd anti-codon position. RNAcentral also lists the same sequence under 1 other name. Lineage: Eukaryota; Viridiplantae; Streptophyta; Magnoliopsida; Poales; Poaceae. The record is from Rfam by way of RNAcentral.